UGAGGAAUAUUGGACAAUGGAUGGAAAUCUGAUCCAGCCAUGCCGCGUGCAGGAAGACGGCCCUAUGGGUUGUAAACUACUUUUGUAUGGGAGCAAUAAGGUCUAUGCGUAGACUGAUGAGAGUACCAUACGAAUAAGCAUCGGCUAACUCCGUGCCAGCAGCCGCGGUAAUACGGGGGAUGCAAGCGUUAUCCGGAUUUAUUGGGUUUAAAGGGUGCGUAGGCGGUUUGAUAAGUCAGCGGUGAAAUAUUUCAGCUUAACUGAAAGGGUGCCGUUGAUACUGUCAGGCUUGAAUAUGGUUGCUGUGGGUGGAAUGUGUGGUGUAGCGGUGAAAUGCUUAGAUAUCACACAGAAUAUCGAUUGCGAAGGCAGCUCACAAAGCCAUUAUUGACGCUGCUGUAUGAUAGUGUGGGGCUUAAACAGGGGUGGAACAUGGUGUAGUA
RNAcentral lists this ribosomal RNA (443 nucleotides) under uncultured prokaryote. RNAcentral describes it as "bacterial SSU rRNA". It matches the Rfam family "Bacterial small subunit ribosomal RNA", at positions 355 to 797 of the family's 1533-position model. The record is from RNAcentral.